AGAUUGAACGCUGGCGGCAUGCCUUACACAUGCAAGUCGAACGGUAGAGUAGCAAUACUCGAGAGUGGCGAACGGGUGAGUAAUAUAUCGGAACGUGCCCAAUCGUGGGGGAUAACGUAGAGAAAUUUACGCUAAUACCGCAUACGAUCUAAGGAUGAAAGCGGGGGACUCGCAAGAGCCUCGCGCGAUUGGAGCGGCUGAUAUCAGAUUAGGUUGUUGGUGAGGUAAAAGCUCACCAAGCCGACGAUCUGUAGCUGGUUUGAGAGAACGACCAGCCACACUGGGUCUGAGACACGGCCCAGACUCCUACGGGAGGCAGCAGUGGGGAAUUUUGGACAAUGGGCGAAAGCCUGAUCCAGCAAUGCCGCGUGCAGGAAGAAGGCCUUCGGGUUGUAAACUGCUUUUGUACGGAACGAAACGGUCCGCCUUAAUACGGUGGCUAAUGACGGUACCGUAAGAAUAAGCAACCGGCUAACUACGUGCCAGUAGCCGCGGUAAUCUA
RNAcentral lists this ribosomal RNA (502 nucleotides) under uncultured soil bacterium. RNAcentral's name for it is "bacterial SSU rRNA". It matches the Rfam family "Bacterial small subunit ribosomal RNA", at positions 26 to 527 of the family's 1533-position model. The record is from RNAcentral.